Molecule: ribosomal RNA, 1447 nt
Filed under: uncultured bacterium
Lineage: Bacteria
Description: bacterial SSU rRNA
Rfam family: Bacterial small subunit ribosomal RNA
Source: RNAcentral
AGAGUUUGAUCCUGGCUCAGGAUGAACGCUGGCGGCGUGCUUAACACAUGCAAGUCGAACGAACCUUCGGGUUAGUGGCGGACGGGUGAGUAACGCGUGAGAAUCUGCCCUCAGGAGGGGGACAACAGUUGGAAACGACUGCUAAUACCCCAUAUGCCGCGAGGUGAAAUGAAUUUCGCCUGAGGAUGAGCUCGCGUCUGAUUAGCUAGUUGGUGUAGGUAAUGGCUCACCAAGGCAUCGAUCAGUAGCUGGUCUGAGAGGAUGAUCAGCCACACUGGGACUGAGACACGGCCCAGACUCCUACGGGAGGCAGCAGUGGGGAAUUUUCCGCAAUGGGCGAAAGCCUGACGGAGCAACGCCGCGUGAGGGAUGAAGGCCUCUGGGCUGUAAACCUCUUUUAUCAAGGAAGAAGAUCUGACGGUACUUGAUGAAUAAGCCACGGCUAAUUCCGUGCCAGCAGCCGCGGUAAUACGGGAGUGGCAAGCGUUAUCCGGAAUUAUUGGGCGUAAAGCGUCCGCAGGCGGCCCUUCAAGUCUGCUGUUAAAAAGUGGAGCUUAACUCCAUCAUGGCAGUGGAAACUGUUGGGCUUGAGUGUGGUAGGGGCAGAGGGAAUUCCCGGUGUAGCGGUGAAAUGCGUAGAUAUCGGGAAGAACACCAGUGGCGAAGGCGCUCUGCUGGGCCAUCACUGACGCUCAUGGACGAAAGCCAGGGGAGCGAAAGGGAUUAGAUACCCCUGUAGUCCUGGCCGUAAACGAUGAACACUAGGUGUCGGGGGAAUCGACCCCCUCGGUGUCGUAGCCAACGCGUUAAGUGUUCCGCCUGGGGAGUACGCACGCAAGUGUGAAACUCAAAGGAAUUGACGGGGGCCCGCACAAGCGGUGGAGUAUGUGGUUUAAUUCGAUGCAACGCGAAGAACCUUACCAGGGUUUGACAUCCUGCGAAUCUCUUGGAAACGAGAGAGUGCCUUCGGGAACGCAGUGACAGGUGGUGCAUGGCUGUCGUCAGCUCGUGUCGUGAGAUGUUGGGUUAAGUCCCGCAACGAGCGCAACCCACGUCUUUAGUUGCCAGCAUUCAGUUGGGCACUCUAGAGAGACCGCCGGUGAUAAACCGGAGGAAGGUGUGGAUGACGUCAAGUCAUCAUGCCCCUUACAUCCUGGGCUACACACGUACUACAAUGCUACGGACAAAGGGCAGCAAGUUCGCGAGGACAAGCAAAUCCCAUAAACCGUGGCUCAGUUCAGAUCGUAGGCUGCAACUCGCCUACGUGAAGGAGGAAUCGCUAGUAAUCGCAGGUCAGCAUACUGCGGUGAAUACGUUCCCGGGCCUUGUACACACCGCCCGUCACACCAUGGAAGUUGGCCACGCCCGAAGCCGUUACUCCAACCCUUGUGGAGGAGGACGUCGAAGGUGGGGCUGAUGACUGGGGUGAAGUCGUAACAAGGUAACC